CCUACCUUUAACAGGGGGAUAGCCCGGGGAAACCCGGAUUAAUACCCCAUGGCAUUGCGAGAUCGCAUGGUCUUGCAAUUAAAGAUUUAUCGGUUAAAGAUGGGCAUGCGUGCCAUUAGCUAGUUGGCAGGGUAACGGCCUACCAAGGCAACGAUGGCUAGGGGGUCUGAGAGGAUGAUCCCCCACACUGGCACUGAGACACGGGCCAGACUCCUACGGGAGGCAGCAGUAGGGAAUAUUGGACAAUGGUCGGAAGACUGACCCAGCCAUGCCGCGUGCAGGAAGACGGCCUAUUGGGUUGUAAACUGCUUUUGUACGGGAAGAAAAAGCCACUGCGGUGGAAAUUGCCGGUACCGUACGAAUAAGCACCGGCUAACUCCGUGCCAGCAGCCGCGGUAAUACGGAGGGUGCAAGCGUUGUCCGGAUUUAUUGGGUUUAAAGGGUGCGUAGGCGGCUUAUUAAGUCAGCGGUGAAAGUUUCAGGCUCAACCUGGAGACUGCCGUUGAUACUGAUGAGCUUGAGUUACGGAGGGGUACAUGGAAUUUAUGGUGUAGCGGUGAGAUGCAUAGAUACCAUAAGGAACACCGAUAGCGAAGGCAUUGUACCGGCCGUCGACUGACGCUGANGCACGAAAGCGUGGGUAGCGAACANGAUUANAUACCCUGGUAGAAUCACUAGUGAAU
Molecule: ribosomal RNA, 683 nt
Filed under: uncultured Bacteroidota bacterium
Lineage: Bacteria; Pseudomonadati; Bacteroidota
Description: bacterial SSU rRNA
Rfam family: Bacterial small subunit ribosomal RNA
Source: RNAcentral